Molecule: ribosomal RNA, 499 nt
Filed under: uncultured bacterium
Lineage: Bacteria
Description: partial 16S ribosomal RNA
Rfam family: Bacterial small subunit ribosomal RNA
Source: RNAcentral
GACGAACGCUGGCGGCGUGCCUAAUACAUGCAAGUCGAGCGAAGUCUUACUGAUGCUUGCACUAGAAAAACUGAGAGGCGAACGGGUGAGAAACACGUAAAGAACCUGCCUCAUAGACUGGGACAACUGUUGGAAACGAUAGCUUAUACCGGAUAACAGCCUACACUGCAUGGCUGAUGUUUAAAAGUUGUUUUUGCUAACACUAUGAGAUGGCUUUGUGUUGCAUUAGCUAGUUGGUGGGGUAAAGGCCUACCAAGGCGACGAUGCAUAGCCGACCUGAGAGGGUGAUCGGCCACACUGGGACUGAGACACGGCCCAGACUCCUACGGGAGGCAGCAGUAGGGAAUCUUCCGCAAUGGGCGAAAGCCUGACGGAGCCACGCCGCGUGAGUGAAGAAGGAUUUCGGUUCGUAAAGCUCUGUUGUUAGGGAAGAAUGGUUGUGUAGUAACUAUACGCAGUAGUGACGGUACCUAACCAGAAAGCCACGGCUAACUACGUG